Molecule: long non-coding RNA, 477 nt
Organism: Arabidopsis lyrata subsp. lyrata
Lineage: Eukaryota; Viridiplantae; Streptophyta; Magnoliopsida; Brassicales; Brassicaceae
Exons: 2
Source: RefSeq, a predicted model, not a curated record
UAAAAAAAUUCAGAUCUAUAAAUUUUGAUAUCCUCAAUAAUAGAUCUUUUAGUUUUCCUAUCUAAAUCAAAUUCAUUCUCCCAUAUAAAUUUGACGAUUCACUGGUUUUAAUUUUGUUUUUAAUUGCUUAUUCAAUUUCGAUAUUAUGCAUAUUAAAUGUUUGUUGUCUACGAGAGAAAAAAGAAGACGAAGAUGUCUAGUAGAAAACUGAAGACGAAGGAAAAGAUGUCUACGAGGAAACCGAAGAUACAGAGAAGAAGAUGUUUACGAGGAAACCAAAGAUGUUGUGGACAAUAUCAUUGAUUUGAAUCUGAAAUGUUAUCCACUUAAGUAAUAGACUAAUAGGAAUCUGAUUACAUUUUUUGUCCAUGCUUUUAUUACUUUAAAAAUAUUGUCCAUUUACCAGAUUAAAAAUUUCAAGCAAACGUUAUCGACGAUUAUUGGUCCAAGAUGUAUAUAUAUGGUUUUUUUUGUCCA